Molecule: long non-coding RNA, 287 nt
Filed under: Ananas comosus (pineapple)
Lineage: Eukaryota; Viridiplantae; Streptophyta; Magnoliopsida; Poales; Bromeliaceae
Description: long non-coding RNA (ACOM_LNC019878)
Source: RNAcentral
GACGCCGAACGGACAGUACCUCCCCUGUCCGCCCAAGGCUCCAACAACAAGUAUAUUACAAGCAAAUCAACAAGGAGAAUUGCAAGAUAUACAAGGUUUGCACGAGGGCAAACAACAACUACAAGUGAAAGCAUCGAAACUAACUAAACAUCCAAUAUACAUGUCAUUCGAUUUCAUUUGAAUCAAUCACAUUUACAUUCGUUACAUCAUUCUUGCAUUACCCAAAAUAGAAUUUACAUUAUCCCUAUAUUACAUCACUUUUCACUUUACAAUUUCAACAUACAAAA